AACUCUGUCCUGUUUGGAUCAGCCAAGGCUCGUUAUUAUUAGCUAAUUUUUAGCCCAAGCUAAUAACUAGAACUAGCUGAUCCAAACAGGCCCUUAGUU
RNAcentral lists this microRNA precursor (99 nucleotides) under Sorghum bicolor (sorghum). Its description in RNAcentral is "miR6222 stem-loop (sbi-MIR6222)". The record is from miRBase by way of RNAcentral. Lineage: Eukaryota; Viridiplantae; Streptophyta; Magnoliopsida; Poales; Poaceae.